RNAcentral lists this long non-coding RNA (1151 nucleotides) under Lonchura striata (white-rumped munia). RNAcentral's name for it is "domestica (Bengalese finch) lncRNA (ENSLSDG00000005405.1)". The record is from RNAcentral. Lineage: Eukaryota; Metazoa; Chordata; Aves; Passeriformes; Estrildidae.
CGAGGCCCCCCAGGUCGGGUUUUGGGGUGAUUUUCGGCAGUUUUUAGGGCGAUUUUGGAUCUGUUUUGGGGUCGUUUUUGGGGCUAUUUCAGGUCAUUUUUGGCUGAUUUCGGGUCAGUUUUCGGGGCGAUUUCGGGCAGGUUUUCGGGUGAUUUUGGGUCAGUUUUGGGGUCGUUUUUGGGGUGCUUUCGGGGUCAAGUUUUUGGGGUGAUUUCGGGUCAGUUUUCGGGUCGUUUUUGGGCAAUUUUGGGUCAGUUUUUGGGGCGAUUUCGGGUCAGUUUUCGGGUCAUUUUUGGGGCGAUUUUGGGUCAGUUUUUGGGGCGAUUUCGGGGUCAAGUUUUUGGGGUGAUUUUGGGUCAGUUUUCGGGUCGUUUUUGGGUAAUUUUGGGUCAGUUUUUGGGGCGAUUUCGGGUCAGUUUUCGGGUCAUUUUUGGGGCGAUUUCGGCAGUUUUUGGGGCGAUUUUGGGUCAGUUUUGGGUCGUUUUUGGGCAAUUUCGGGUCAGUUUUCGAGUCGUUUUUGGGGUGAUUUUGGGUACGUUUUUGGGGCGAUUUCGGGUCAGUUUUUGGGGUGAUUUCGGGUCAGUUUUGGGUCGUUUUUGGGCAAUUUCGGGUCAGUUUUGGGUCGUUUUUGGGCAAUUUCGGGUCAGUUUUUGGGGCGAUUUCGGGUCAGUUUUUGGGGCGAUUUCGGGUCAGUUUUGGGUCGUUUUUGGGCAAUUUCGGGUCAGUUUUUGGGGCGAUUUCGGGUCAGUUUUGGGUCGUUUUUGGGCAAUUUCGGGUCAGUUUUUGGGGCGAUUUCGGGUCAGUUUUCAGGUCGUUUUUGGGCAAUUUCGGGUCAGUUUUUGGGGCGAUUUCGGGUCAGUUUUCGGGUAGUUUUUGGGCAAUUUCGGGUCAGUUUUUGGGCAAUUUCGGGUCAGUUUUUGGGACGAUUUCGGGUCAGUUUUGGGUCGUUUUUGGGCAAUUUCGGGUCCGUUUUGGGUCGUUUUUGGGGUGCUUUCUGGGGUUUCGGGGCUCACCUGUUCGCGGGCGCGGGCGCAGAACGCCAUGUCGGGGUCCAGGUGGGCGUGGUCGAACACCGGCCCCUCCCCCAGCGGCCCCCGCAGCGCGGCCCCGCCCACCAGGUAGGCGUGGCUGACGUACGGCACGUUCCACAC